Non-coding RNA from Ictidomys tridecemlineatus (thirteen-lined ground squirrel), 103 nucleotides. The record is from Rfam. NCBI's taxonomy places the organism in Eukaryota, Metazoa, Chordata, Mammalia, Rodentia, Sciuridae.
AACCUUUCAGUUCCUAAGUAUGAGGAUUGGGUGUUCAUGCUGUUGUGUGAGAUGUGCCUCCCUCUGAACCUUGUUAUGAUGCCAACACGUUACCUAUCUGACG